Ochotona curzoniae (black-lipped pika) is the source of this 104-nucleotide small nucleolar RNA. RefSeq annotates it as small nucleolar RNA U13. NCBI's taxonomy places the organism in Eukaryota, Metazoa, Chordata, Mammalia, Lagomorpha, Ochotonidae. The record is from RefSeq and is a predicted model, not a curated record. The transcript has a single exon.
AUCCGAUCGUGGUUCAUAAGCGUGAUUAUUGGGUUUAUACAUGUCUGUGUGGCACGUGCCUCCCUUCAACCUUGUUACGACAUUGGCACGUGGCCUGUUUGAUG